AGUUAAUUAGUUUAGGAAAACAUUUGUUUUGAAAACAAAAAUUAGAAGUUUAACUCUUUUAUUAACUU
Molecule: transfer RNA, 68 nt
Filed under: Oxytauchira brachyptera
Lineage: Eukaryota; Metazoa; Arthropoda; Insecta; Orthoptera; Acrididae
Description: tRNA-Ser
Rfam family: tRNA
About the family: Transfer RNA (tRNA) molecules are approximately 80 nucleotides in length.
Source: RNAcentral